UUAAAUUGAAGAGUUUGAUCAUGGCUCAGAUUGAACGCUGGCGGCAGGCCUAACACAUGCAAGUCGAACGGUAACAGGAAGCAGCUUGCUGCUUUGCUGACGAGUGGCGGACGGGUGAGUAAUGUCUGGGAAACUGCCUGAUGGAGGGGGAUAACUACUGGAAACGGUGGCUAAUACCGCAUAAUGUCGCAAGACCAAAGAGGGGGACCUUCGGGCCUCUUGCCAUCAGAUGUGCCCAGAUGGGAUUAGCUUGUUGGUGAGGUAACGGCUCACCAAGGCGACGAUCCCUAGCUGGUCUGAGAGGAUGACCAGCCACACUGGAACUGAGACACGGUCCAGACUCCUACGGGAGGCAGCAGUGGGGAAUAUUGCACAAUGGGCGCAAGCCUGAUGCAGCCAUGCCGCGUGUAUGAAGAAG
Molecule: ribosomal RNA, 418 nt
Filed under: Salmonella enterica subsp. enterica serovar Oranienburg
Lineage: Bacteria; Pseudomonadati; Pseudomonadota; Gammaproteobacteria; Enterobacterales; Enterobacteriaceae
Description: bacterial SSU rRNA
Rfam family: Bacterial small subunit ribosomal RNA
Source: RNAcentral